GAAAAAAUCAAAUCUACUGCUGCAAAGAAUUCAAACAACCGAAGAAAGGUCAUUGACACGCACACUGCUGGCCGUAAAUCCUUUGCACAGAUUGGAAAUGAAAUGAAAAAGAACCAGUCGACCCCUGAUACACCUACAAAGGCGGAUAUAUAUCCUAAAACGCGCCAAGGUCAUGAUAAGAAGACUGAAAAGGACACUGAGAAGGACAAUGAAAAGGACAAUGACAAAGACACUGAGAAAGACAAUGAGGCUGAAGAAGCAGCAAAUACAAAAGAAAUA
Daucus carota subsp. sativus is the source of this 279-nucleotide long non-coding RNA. RefSeq lists it as uncharacterized. The record is from RefSeq and is a predicted model, not a curated record. NCBI's taxonomy places the organism in Eukaryota, Viridiplantae, Streptophyta, Magnoliopsida, Apiales, Apiaceae. The transcript has 3 exons.